CGUGUAGGCGGCCGACUAAGUCUGAUGUGAAAUACCCGCUUUUAAGGUGGGUCGUGCAUUGGAAACUGGAUGGCUAGAGUGCAGAAGAGGUAAGUGGAAUUCCCAGUGUAGCGGUGAAAUGCGUAGAGAUUGGGAGGAACACCAGUGGCGAAGGCGACUUACUGGGCCGCAACUGACGCUGAGGCGCGAAAGCGUGGGGAGCAAACA
Molecule: ribosomal RNA, 207 nt
Filed under: uncultured bacterium
Lineage: Bacteria
Description: partial 16S ribosomal RNA
Rfam family: Bacterial small subunit ribosomal RNA
Source: RNAcentral